This is a small nucleolar RNA of Corticium candelabrum, 229 nucleotides long. RefSeq annotates it as small nucleolar RNA U3. The transcript has a single exon. The record is from RefSeq and is a predicted model, not a curated record. NCBI's taxonomy places the organism in Eukaryota, Metazoa, Porifera, Homoscleromorpha, Homosclerophorida, Plakinidae.
AAGACCGUACUCACUAGGAUCAUUUCUAUAGUACGUGUCCGUUCUUCGUUUACCAAACGGAGUUCACCUUGCCAACCACGAUGACGCGAGAUAGCGUCCUCUCCUGAGCGCGAAGCUCGCCCUCAGAUGGGUCUGCUUUAGACCCGCGUCUGUGGUCGCUUGAUGACCGUUCCCUUGCCUCUGCUCUUGCGAGCAUGCAAAGGGAGGGAGAGGACGCAUUCUGAGUGGU